This 385-nucleotide unclassified non-coding RNA is filed under the name Hevea brasiliensis (rubber tree). Lineage: Eukaryota; Viridiplantae; Streptophyta; Magnoliopsida; Malpighiales; Euphorbiaceae. The record is from RNAcentral.
UUUAAUUACAGCAAACAUGAAACCCAGGAAACACAUCAAACAUGAUCAGAGUUUUCUCAUUCUAAGUUUGAUAUGACCAAGGACAAAAAUUUAGAAACCCAUUAAACAUGAUUGAAGUUUUCUUAUUUUUCACAAACUCAGCGACAUGAAAUUUUAAAAUACCCAACAAGAAAAAUCCUUCUAACAAAUCCUCAAUAUUAAACAAUGGAGAAUGGAAUCAAAGUAUUAUUCCUAAAAUAUUUACCUAUUGAGUGCUGAAUUGAAAACCAAGGAACUUGAGAACGACGGUUGGGCUCAUGCACGAUCGGGAACGGUGACUUGUGAUGGCAACAGCACUAGUGGGGUCGUCAGAUAUGGCAAGAGGCAACAGCUCCUUACUGCCGAG